UACAGAGGGUGCAAGCGUUAAUCGGAAUUACUGGGCGUAAAGCGUGCGCAGGCGGUUUUGUAAGUCUGUCGUGAAAGCCCCGGGCUCAACCUGGGAACUGCAUUUGUGACUGCAAGGCUAGAGUACGGCAGAGGGGGAUGGAAUUCCGCGUGUAGCAGUGAAAUGCGUAGAUAUGCGGAGGAACACCAAUGGCGAAGGCAAUCCCCUGGGCCUGUACUGACGCUCAUGCACGAAAGCGUGGGGAGCAAACAGG
RNAcentral lists this ribosomal RNA (253 nucleotides) under uncultured bacterium. RNAcentral's name for it is "partial 16S ribosomal RNA". It matches the Rfam family "Bacterial small subunit ribosomal RNA", at positions 524 to 776 of the family's 1533-position model. The record is from RNAcentral.